AGUGAACGCUGGCGGUAGGCCUAACACAUGCAAGUCGAACGGCAGCACAGUAAGAGCUUGCUCUUACGGGUGGCGAGUGGCGGACGGGUGAGGAAUACAUCGGAAUCUACUUUUUCGUGGGGGAUAACGUAGGGAAGCUUACGCUAAUACCGCAUACGACCUACGGGUGAAAGCAGGGGAUCUUCGGACCUUGCGCGAUUGAAUGAGCCGAUGUCGGAUUAGCUAGUUGGCGGGGUAAAGGCCCACCAAGGCGACGAUCCGUAGCUGGUCUGAGAGGAUGAUCAGCCACACUGGAACUGAGACACGGUCCAGACUCCUACGGGAGGCAGCAGUGGGGAAUAUUGGACAAUGGGCACAAGCCUGAUCCAGCCAUACCGCGUGGGUGAAGAAGGCCUUCGGGUUGUAAAGCCCUUUUGUUGGGAAAGAAAAGCAGCAGGUUAAUACCCCGCUGUUCUGACGGUACCCAAAGAAUAAGCACCGGCUAACUUCGUG
Molecule: ribosomal RNA, 492 nt
Filed under: uncultured bacterium
Lineage: Bacteria
Description: partial 16S ribosomal RNA
Rfam family: Bacterial small subunit ribosomal RNA
Source: RNAcentral